AUGCACGCUGGCGGCGUGCCUCAUACAUGCAAGUCGAGCGAACAGACGAGGAGCUUGCUCCUCUGACGUUAGCGGCGGACGGGUGAGUAACACGUGGAUAACCUACCUAUAAGACUGGGAUAACUUCGGGAAACCGGAGCUAAUACCGGAUAAUAUAUUGAACCGCAUGGUUCAAUAGUGAAAGACGGUUUUGCUGUCACUUAUAGAUGGAUCCGCGCCGCAUUAGCUUGUUGGUAAGGUAACGGCUUACCAAGGCAACGAUGCGUAGCCGACCUGAGAGGGUGAUCGGCCACACUGGAACUGAGACACGGUCCAGACUCCUACGGGAGGCAGCAGUAGGGAAUCUUCCGCAAUGGGCGAAAGCCUGACGGAGCAACGCCGCGUGAGUGAUGAAGGUCUUCGGAUCGUAAAACUCUGUUAUUAGGGAAGAACAAAUGUGUAAGUAACUAUGCACGUCUUGACGGUACCUAAUCAGAAAGCCACGGCUAACUACGUG
This 496-nucleotide ribosomal RNA is filed under the name uncultured bacterium. RNAcentral's name for it is "partial 16S ribosomal RNA". It matches the Rfam family "Bacterial small subunit ribosomal RNA", at positions 29 to 507 of the family's 1533-position model. The record is from RNAcentral.